AUCCUAGGAAGAAAGCUUUUAGUUUUCCCCAUUGAGGAUGAUGUUCACUGUGUGUUCUCCAUAUAGGGCCUUUAUUAUCUUGAGGUAUGUUCCCCCUAAACCUACUUUGUUGAAGAUUUUUUUUUAUCACAAAUGAAUGUUAUAAUUUGUCAGAUGCUUUUUGUGCAUCUUUUGAAAUGUUCAUACGGUUUUUAUCUUUCCUCUUGAUGUCAUGCUUCA
Mustela erminea (ermine) is the source of this 219-nucleotide long non-coding RNA. RefSeq lists it as uncharacterized. The transcript is spliced from 3 exons. The record is from RefSeq and is a predicted model, not a curated record. NCBI's taxonomy places the organism in Eukaryota, Metazoa, Chordata, Mammalia, Carnivora, Mustelidae.